CGCGUGGUAGGGAAAUCGCCUGUCCCCCUCUCUAGCUUCUUACCUCCAACAGCCCCUGCCAAUUUGCAUCCUCCAGGAAGGAAACUUUAAAAGACAGCAGAUGGCACCUACACAGCAAGCAGGAGCAAACAGCCAUCCCUGAGGACAGCUCCAAAGGCAGCAACACCACCAGGGAGGGUGCAGGCAGAGAACACCCCAGCAGUGAGGCAGCAGCAGCACCGGGACCCAGACAGGAGGUCUUGCCGUGUUUCUGAACCUCAGAUGUGAACAGAGAACUGCAGAGACCCCACACCUCUGAUGUAAGAGGAGAAGAACCCAGAAUGGAUAACUUCCGAUGUCUGCCUGCUCAGCGCUCCUACACACACACCAUUGCUUUCAUAAGGUGGCUGUCGCUUCCUGUGUCACAGGAAACCAUGUCUUCCACACCAAUGAUACUGCCAGAGCCUGCAUCCAGAAGGUGCUUAAUAAA
Oryctolagus cuniculus (rabbit) is the source of this 469-nucleotide non-coding RNA. The record is from RefSeq and is a predicted model, not a curated record. Lineage: Eukaryota; Metazoa; Chordata; Mammalia; Lagomorpha; Leporidae.